UUUUCGCCUGUUCCACCUUAUAUACCCAUCACAGAAUUAGUUCACAAAAAAUAUUAUGUAUUGAUUAAUGCCACAUCAUUAUCAAUAUAAUGGCCUUUUCCUGCUGCAAAAUUGAGCAUAGUUUUCUUCAAAGUCUUAAUUGACCGCAACACUAGCUUGUCAUGAACCGACCAUUCAAGCUUUUUGCCUGCAAUUGGGCUGGGGCUGGCCGAAAGAGGGAUUUAUUGCAGCACUUAUUACACAGUACUUGUACCUUUUUCCUCCUCUCUCUCUAUAAACUUUUUUAAUUUCUGGCGUGUCAAACACGUAAAAAUUCCACUACUAGAAGAUGAUUUUUCCCUACCUCGAGUCAAUGAGAAAUUUAUAUUGUAAAAGUUAAUUUUUCCUUUCAUUUUUCCUUGAACCACCUCCAUGAGAAAUGCUUGGCGCAAAACAGAUCCUCAUCCAAAUACUAGACACUGGGAAGCUUUCUAAUUUUUUUGUAAAAGCAUAUAUUAUGCUUUAUUAUUAUUCCAC
RNAcentral lists this long non-coding RNA (516 nucleotides) under Capsicum annuum. RNAcentral describes it as "long non-coding RNA (CANN_LNC019188)". The record is from RNAcentral. Lineage: Eukaryota; Viridiplantae; Streptophyta; Magnoliopsida; Solanales; Solanaceae.